UGGGCUUCUUCAAAUUUCUUCUAAGAGUGAUCAUCCCAAGAGAACCAGGCUGAAGCCAUAUCACCUUUCGCAUGCUAGCCUUGGAAGUAAAAUCAUGUCCUUCUCAUUGUACUCCGUUAAUCAGGGCAGUCGCAAAGAUCCAGCCAGACUGAAUGAGAGGGGACAGACACCAUCAUUCCAUGGCUGCUGCCCAGGCCCACUGCAGACCUGCUAAAUUCGAGCUCCUUGUAGUGGGGCCAGGGCCCUGGGACUUCACACAAAACUCUGCAAGUCAUCACUGAUGAGAAAACCAAGACUCGAUGAGAGUCUCCUGAGCUCGGGGGAAGAAGCUGCAUAACCGGCACACUUCCAGAAAGGACCGAGGAAGAGAGCGUCGCUUCAGCUAGGGAUCUGAUUAGUCAUGCCUGGUAGGCUCUGCUGAGCUGGGGGCUCUUGGGUUUUGCUUGUUGAGCUGAAUUAAUAUAUUAAUGGAUUUCAUGUUUGACUCGCUCUUUCUUUCUCACUGUGCAGGAGCUAAAGGAGUGGAGCUGGGGAUGCAAAUGUUUCUGUUUAGACAGCUGAAGUGGCCAUGCGAGCCCACAGCGAGAGCUGCAGGAGCAGCUACUACAGGGAGUGGGCAGAUUUUAGGAUGUGCAGCUUUGUACUUGGUGUGGCUCGGUUGUACAUUCAGGAAUCUCUUUCCUUGUGAUACAUGGAGCUGCACGUGGAAGAUGUUAGGAAAACAGCUGGGUGCAGUUUUGCUGGUUAGUUCUGAACAAACCUAAAGAUGUGAGAUUUGAACUCUAUAAGGGAAGAAAGUGAGGAGGAAGAAGGCACUGAGGCUGCCUGUCACCAGGAGGGUUCUGGGCAAAACAGGGUAGAGUGACUUGGGACAGUUCCUCUUAACGAUAGCACAGGCAGUAGGGGUUGAGACACAGUGGGGUUGAGACUUGCUUAAAUGUACAGUUAUUCAGUCAACCAUUUUCAUAGAAUAAUUGUGGGUUGUGUGGGUUGUCUUGAGCUGCCGAGUUCACAUGUUCUGCAGUGGAGCACUAUAUGCUAAUGUGAGAUGUGAGUACACCCAGAUUUCACCUGCCCUAGAACGUGGUUUUGUUUUUUUUUAAAGUAAAACAAUGUUGUGGCCAGGUGUGGCCUGAUAGCUUUAAAAACAAAUGGCCUCUGCUGAGGGACACUUGGGUUGUUUCCCUGUCUUUGCUACAGUGAGCAGUGCUGCAGUGGACAUGGGAGGGCAGGCAGCUCUUCUACCCACUGACCUCCUUUCCUAUGGGUUUGUCCCCAGAAGUGGGACCUGCUGGAUCAUAUCAAAGCUCUGUUUGUCUUUUCCUGAGGAAGCUUCAGGCUGUUUUCAUCCGGGCUCUACUAAUUCACAUUCCCACCCACAGUGAAUAAGGGUUCACUCUUCUCCAUAUCCUCACCAACACAGGUUACCUUUUGACUUUUUCAUAAUUGCCAUCCUAACAGGUGUGAGGUGAUAAUUGUUUGCGGUUUUAAUUUGCAUUUCCCUGAUGAUUAGUUGAGGACUUUUUCAUAUACCUGUUGCCCAUUUGUAUGUCUUCUUUGGAACAAUGUCUAUUCAGGUCCUUUGCCCAUUUUUAAUCAGGUUAUUAUUCUUAUUAUUUUACUACUGAGCUGUAUGAGUUUCUUAUUUAUUUAAAAUAUUAACCCCCUUUCAGAUAUAUGGUUUGAAAAUGAUGUCUUUUAUUCCAUAGGUUGGCAGAUGAAUGGACUAAGAAUACGUGAUACACACACACACACACACACAGACACAUGUACUAAAAUAUCUUUCAGCCUUAACAAGAAGAAAAUCUUGCCAUUUGCAAUGAGAUAGAUAAACCUAGAAGACAUUAUGUUAAAUGAAAUAAAGCAAGCACAGAAAAUCACAUACUACACACUUAUAUGUAGAAUCUAGAAAAGUUGGAAUCAUUGAAAUAGAGUAGAAUGAAAGCCACCAACAGCUGGGGGUAGGAGAAACAGGAAGAUGAUGGUCAAAGGUCAGAGGACACAAACUUGCAGGUGUAAGAUGAGUCAGUUCUGGAGACCUAGUGUACAGCGUGGGGACUCUAGUUAAUAAUGUGUUUGACACUUGGAACUUGGAAAGAGUUGAUCUCAAGUAUUCUCACCACACACACACACACACACAAACACACAGGUACUUGUGAGGUGAAGGAUAUGUUAAUUUUCUUGAUUGUGGUAAUCAUUUCACGAUGUGUGUCUAUAUAAAACAUCAUGCUGCACACUUUACAUACAUAGAGUUGUAUAUGUCAAUUUUAUCUCAAUGAAAUGGCAGGUCCUUCCCUUGACCUGCCACCUGACCUGCUACAGUUCAGAGGUUUGAGGCAGGGUAGCAUCACCACCAGUGGAGAUGGAGGCAGUGUUUAAAUAACACACAAUUAUGUUGGGAAGUCAAAGGGGGCACCAGGCUCUCUAAGGAAAAGCUUGGCCUCUUCAGGACAUUCUAGGAGGAUAGCACAUAAUCCACACCCCACACCAUGCCUUUCCCUGGGUGAUGUCAUUCCUGAAUCCACAUCCCACACCAUGACUUUCCCUGGGUGAUGUCAUUCCCGCUGUGGCAUCUGGAUCAUCCACCUGCCAACAGUGCCCAGAGCCUCACCUCCAGACCAGACCCACCCUCUUCAAAUGGCCCACCCUGCAGACCCUCUCGAAGAGCUCACAGGCACCCCCAGAGAAGGUGUCCCAAAUGCCGCCUUCUCUCACCAGCCUGUUCUCACUGAAGUCUUGGUUAUCUUAGUAAAUGGCACCACUACCCAACCAGUUGCUUGAGUCCAUAAAUGUAGGACUUACCAUUCACACCACCCUUUGUCUUAUCACUCAGUUUAAACACAUCUCUCAGCCUUGACCAUUUCACUUUCAAAGUAUACCUUGAAUCUCUGGGUACCUCUUUGUGUUUACAGCCAUCAUCUGACUCUAAGCCACAGACACCUCUCAUCUAGAUAUGACCACAGCCAGUGUCAGCCUGCCAGAUACACACCCUGCUCACAUUCCUGCUUCCCUCCAGUCUAUUCCACUUGCACAUACACGUAUACACUCACACACACUCAUUCACAUGCACACUGCCACACACACAUACACAGCACUGCAUACACUCAUACUCACUUCCAUACCCAUGACCACACACUCACACACGCACACAAUCACAUGCAUGACCACCACACACACUCACACACUCAUGCACAUACAGUCACAUACAAACACGUGAUCUUUAAGAACGUAUGUUAAAUAACAUUGUUUCUACUUAUGAUUCAUCAGUAGCAUCCUGUGGCAUUUUGUAUUUAAUUCAAACUUCUUCACCUGUUCCAGAAGCUCCUGGGAGCCAUGGCCCCUGCCGGCCCCCCAGGUUCCCCUGAUACCACACCCUGCACUGCCCAGUCCCUCCACACUGACCCCCUUUAGCUGCUCAAAGUCUUCCUCUGCCCCGUAGUUUCCACACAGGCCCUCCCCUGCUGGGGUGCUCUCCCUGCCAGUCCUGGCCUGGCUAUUCCUCCCAUAGACCCCCCUGAUGGAAGGAGGCUCCUUGGACCCAGGCACUGCUCCUGUGCUGGUCUCCAUGGGGCCUCGGUAGUGGACAUUGUGUCCAUUGUUCACUGAGUGAGUGAGCGUUCACUUGCUUACAGUGUGUGUCCUACACACUAUGCUCCAUGAGGGAAGGGACUGAUUUGCUCAUCACUGAAAUGCUGGAGUUUCUGGUAUUCAACACAUGCUCAGUAAGACCUGACUGAACAACUCAAUACCAUCUCCACUAUAGAGACACCCACAGAGUGCGGCAGAGGCAGCCAUGGGCCAAUGUUUAGGUGACUGAGUUUCUGAUGCCAUCACAGGCCCUAAUUCCCCAUGUGAAUUUGGGCAAAUUGCUGUACCUCUCUGAGCGCAACUUCCUCACCUGUAUGUAAGAGGGUUUACAUCAGGCAUCUUUAUGGCCCUGAAUUAUGAAAAAGUAAGAAGACUUCGCUUCCUGGGGUCUUUGGGGCUGGCCUGUUAUGUUUGCAGGGAGCCUGGCAGUGUUCCUGUGCUGUCCUCCCUUUUUUGGCUUGAAGUGUUGACAGCAUGUGUGCUUACUUGCUGGAGAUCCCAUGGUGUGUAAAGCUGUGGUUGUUGGAUUUGGUAACAGUCUCUGCUGGAGCUUGCACAGCAAGCUACGGGGCAGAGGAAGACUUUGAACUCCAGAGCAGUGGAACUGGCAACUCCCUAGGAUCCUGAUCCUCAUCAGUUUGGACGUUUCUUGUAGCCAUGUGACCCAUCUGUGUCUCUACUUGCCUUUAUGGGACCGAAGACCACCUGACCGUGGCUCCAUGUGAAUGUGAAAUCAGGUCUGGAGUGGGAGAGCAGUGGGUGCCGCCCCGCCGGCUGCGACACUGGGCUGGAGUCUCUGGUGGGUGGUGGACCCAUUGAGCUGGCAGCGUGCACCUGAUCUCAUCCCGAGGGAAUCCACGUGGUGUUUUCCUUGUUUUCUGGUGAAAAUAAUUGGGUGCAAUGAGAGAGCUGAGCCACCUGUGUGCCAGGUGCCAGAGAUCAGUGGCCUCACCAUAAACUUGGCCAGGGCAGAAGAUGGCUGAAGGUCAAAGUAGCUGCAAGAGGUGUUGUUAUCAGGCAUGAAGAUAAAUCGCUUGAUAUCAGCUUAAAAAUGACAAGAAUAAAGCUUCUCCUUUACGCUGCCUGAGACCCUGUUUGCUGACAGUGAUGGGUGUGAGCUAAAGCUCACUUGCUCUUGCCCCUUCAGAUACAAUCAGCUACUGUUCUGCAGAGAUGGGCAUCUGCCAACCUGCACAGUCCGGUGUUUUGAUAGAGCAACUCUCUCGAUAUUCUUCUCUAACCCCCUCUUACCCUUCGGGCAUUUCAAACACUGUCCUGGACUCUUCUCCCUCACCUGCAGCACAGAGGCACAGAGUGAAGAAGAAACACAGCACCAGGACCCUCUUUCCUAUCUGUUUAGAGAGAAGAUGGUGGAGAAGGUUUGGGCGGGAAAGUAAAUAGAGACCAAGGGUAGGAGGAGAGAGGGGCAGGAUGGGAGGGAGACAGGGCAUGAGGGAGAAAGAGAAGUCAUUGAUGGGCAGAGGGUGAAGGGAGAAGAGGAGAGAGAAAAUGAGGGGUAGAGAGAAGCUUGCCAUGGAGGGCACAGAAUGCAUUUCCCCCUCAGAACACUGGCUUGAAGCAGAGAAAAUGAAUUUUAGUGAUAUUCAAGGUUGAAACACUCACCAGCAAUAGACACACUUAGAAAUAGCUUAAUAAAUGCAUUAACAAUCUACAAAGACACAGAAAGUUCCAAGAAUUCUAAAUCCUCUCUUCCCUCUAG
Molecule: long non-coding RNA, 5308 nt
Filed under: Homo sapiens (human)
Lineage: Eukaryota; Metazoa; Chordata; Mammalia; Primates; Hominidae
Description: HSALNT0248492
Source: RNAcentral